UGCGUAGGCGGCUUCGUAUGUCGGAUGUGAAAGCUCACGGCUCAACCGUGGAAUUGCAUCCGAAACUGCGAGGCUGGAGUAUCGGAGAGGUAAGCGGAAUUCUUGGUGUAGCGGUGAAAUGCGUAGAUAUCAAGAGGAACACCGGUGGCGAAGGCGGCUUACUGGACGAAUACUGACGCUGAGGCACGAAAGCUGGGGGAGCGAAGA
Molecule: ribosomal RNA, 207 nt
Filed under: uncultured bacterium
Lineage: Bacteria
Description: partial 16S ribosomal RNA
Rfam family: Bacterial small subunit ribosomal RNA
Source: RNAcentral